CAAUAGCGUAUAUCAAAGCUGUUGCGGUUAAAAAGCUCGUAGUUGGAUUUCUGUCAAGGACAACUGGUCCGCCCUCCGGGUGAGCACAUAGUUUGGUCUUGGCAUCUUGCUGGAAACUGUUGCUGCGCUUGGUUGUGUGGUGCAGCUUUCAGCACUUUCACUUUGAGGAAAUUGGAGUGUUUCAAGCAGGCACAUGCCUUUGGACACAGUAGCAUGGAAUAAUUAGAUUGGGCUUUUGCUCCAACUUGUUGGUUCCUGGAGCUGAGGUGAGAAUCAAUGGGGAUUGUUGGGGGCAUCCGAAUUUAGCCGUCAGAGGUGAAAUUCUUGGAUCUGCUAAAGACGGACAACUGCGAAANCGNNNGCCCAGGAUGUUUUCAUNGA
This 381-nucleotide ribosomal RNA is filed under the name uncultured eukaryote. RNAcentral describes it as "partial 18S ribosomal RNA". It matches the Rfam family "Eukaryotic small subunit ribosomal RNA", at positions 592 to 976 of the family's 1831-position model. The record is from RNAcentral.